Long non-coding RNA from Mirounga angustirostris (Northern elephant seal), 927 nucleotides. RefSeq lists it as uncharacterized. The record is from RefSeq and is a predicted model, not a curated record. NCBI's taxonomy places the organism in Eukaryota, Metazoa, Chordata, Mammalia, Carnivora, Phocidae. The transcript is spliced from 4 exons.
AAAGAUUUUAUUUAUUCAUAAGAGACAGAGAGAGAGAGGCAGAGGGAGAAGCAGGCUCCCCGCUGAGCAGGGAGCCCGAUGUGGGACUUGAUCCCAGGACCCUGGGAUCAUGACCUGAGCCGAAGGCAGACGCUUAACCAUCUGAGCCAUCCAGGCGCCCAACCCCUCAGUAAUUCUUUCAGCAACUGAUGUGUGAUUAUCUGAGCAGAGGAAACUUCCAGGAAAGCUGCAAGCCCGAAUGAGUCAGCUGUCAUCACGGCCAUUACCUGAUGCGGAAAGGGGAUGGGCUCGGGAAGCUGACGUCGGUGAAAGAGCAGAGACGCACAGGAAACCUCCUGACUUGUAAGGUAUCCAUGUGGUAGAAAGCAAGCACACAAAAGUCCGCUGCUCAUUUGUGUACUUCUUCGUUCUGUGGAUUCUCAGGGCACUCUGCCCUGAUUUUCCUGUCUGCUGAUGGUGCCUCCAAGCCAGCCUCCACUCUGCCCAGAUGUGGACUUCCUACCUGCAUUCUCUCAAGAUUCUCUGUGUACAUCAAGAAUUUAUAAAAGGUUUAACAGGAAAUGUAAAAAGAAAGAAGACCAGGAUGCUAAGAUAAACAUCACUGGAGGUGUUCAUAGGAUAGACAACUGAGAAGGUAUGUCAUCGAUGUAGACAAAAUGAGACAAAUGGUUGGAAUAACGACCACUAAAUUCCCUUCCAACUCAGAUGUAUAAUUCUAGACUCAGAAGAUAAACUCACAGGUGGUAUCAAAUAAAAAGGCUUUGGCUCUGGAGUCAUACCCAGGUUUGAAUCCCAAUUCUAUCACUUUUAUAAUAUAACUUCACACAAAUUACUUAUCCUCUCCAAAGGAUAAUAAUAGGACCAGACAAGAGUAUUCAGUGAGAUAAUGCAUUAGUGUCUGGCACAUAUUAAACAUUUAAUAUAUAA